UAUUUAUAUUAACCCUUAGCAGGUAUCGUGGGUCAAAUUUGACCCAGAAGCGAACAUUUUCGGUUAUAAUUCUUUAAAUAUUUUAUGCAACGACUGUGCGCUUCUAAGUAUUCUCAGUGCGUCGCUAGCUGCAGCGGGGUGUUGAUGUGCAGAACUGUGACUAUCUUAGGAGCGGAGACAAAUCGAGGAGUUGAUGAACGACUUAAGUGAUGAUUUGGAAUUGAAAAAUGAAAGAAUACCAAAUGUAAACCAACUUUGUGACGACGAAAUCAUCAGCGAUCGAGACAAUCCCUAAUCUGUUAGUUGCUUAGAAGACAGUGUAUUUGGAGUAAGUUCUGACGACAGUGAAAACGAAGAGGAGAUACGAGAAUAAUAGAAAAUAUACGAGGAACGAAAAUACGAGAGAUGAGAGUGAAGAAGAUGAGGAUGAUAGUUGAUGGUAGAAGUCAUUUUGGUUUUGGUUGUCAUUUUCUUUAUUUUAUGCUGAUUUCAGAAGCAAUUUGUUUUUUUGUUAUAAUAAAGAUAUUAGAAGUGCCAUAAAUAUAUUUUAGUUAAAGUUUUUCUAACAUUUCAAUUUUUUUUUUAUGUUUUAAGUUCACAUUAACCAAAAAGUGCCAAAAAAUAAGGUUAUUUACAAAUGUGUGUAAAACAUGAUAUUUUUUUUUAUAUUCUAAUAUUAAAUAAGGUUAUUUUGUAAAAAAAUAUUUUUUUAUUUCUUUUCUAACCAUAUUUUAUACAAAUAAUAAAAAAUCUACGUUCUACAACAGAUUGUUUGGUAUGGGUAGAAUUUGACCCACGAUACCGGUAGUGUUGCCAAAAAAGGCGAUACCAGCUAAGGGUUAAGA
Long non-coding RNA from Colias croceus (clouded yellow), 845 nucleotides. RefSeq lists it as uncharacterized. The transcript is spliced from 2 exons. NCBI's taxonomy places the organism in Eukaryota, Metazoa, Arthropoda, Insecta, Lepidoptera, Pieridae. The record is from RefSeq and is a predicted model, not a curated record.